Molecule: long non-coding RNA, 234 nt
Filed under: Monodelphis domestica (gray short-tailed opossum)
Lineage: Eukaryota; Metazoa; Chordata; Mammalia; Didelphimorphia; Didelphidae
Description: lncRNA (ENSMODG00000043537.1)
Source: RNAcentral
GUUCCUGUGAACAAACGCUAACUUCUCUGAAGACUUUCAUUCCAUGAACUACUGAGAUACUGGGCUCAAUUGGAUAUCCAUUUGCAAGAAGUGUUAUAUAGGCUGUUGAUUUUUUCUACAUGGCUUUCCAAUGAACUUUGGAUUACUUACAGCUUUGAUUCUGAUGAUAUAAUGAUGGCCAACAUUGGCAGCCAUGGUUUCUACCAGAUGUCAGUUUUGUCCAAAUAAAGCAAU